AGAGUUUGAUCAUGGCUCAGAACGUACGCUGGCGGCACGCCUAACACAUGCAAGUCGAACGAAGUAGCAAUACUUAGUGGCAAACGGGUGAGUAACAUGUGGGUAUCUGCCCUUCGGCCUGGAAUAACACGAGGAAACUUGUGCUAAUACCGGAUAAGUCUUUUAAGAGAAAGCUUUAUGCACCAAUGGAUGAGCCCGCACCUGAUUAGUUAGUUGGUGGGGUAAUGGCUUACCAAGACAAUGAUCAGUAGCUGAUUUGAGAGGAUGAUCAGCCACAUUGGGACUGAGACACGGCCCAAACUCCUACGGGAGGCAGCAGUGGGGAAUCUUGCACAAUGGGGGAAACCCUGAUGCAGCGAUGCCGCGUGAGUGAAGAAGGCCCUUGGGUUGUAAAGCUCUUUCGUCGGGGAAGAAAAUGACUGUACCCGAAUAAGAAGGUCCGGCUAACUUAGUGCCAGCAGCCGCGGUAAUACGAAGGGCCCUAGCGUAGUUCGGAAUUACUGGGCUUAAAGAGCUCGUAGGUGGUUAAAAAAGUUGGUGGUGAAAUCCCAAGGCUUAACCUUGGAACUGCCACCAAAACUUUUUAACUAGAGUGUGAUAGAGGUAAGUGGAAUUUCUAGUGUAGAGGUGAAAUUCGUAGAUAUUAGAAAGAACACCAAAUGCGAAGGCAACUUACUGGGUCACUACUGACACUGAGGAGCGAAAGCAUGGGUAGCGAAGAGGAUUAGAUACCCUCGUAGUCCAUGUCGUAAACGAUGUGUGCUAGACGUUGGAAACUUAGUUUUCAGUGUCGCAGCGAAAGCGUUAAGCACACCGCCUGGGGAGUACGAUCGCAAGGUUGAAACUCAAAGGAAUUGACGGGGGCCCGCACAAGCGGUGGAGUAUGUGGUUUAAUUCGAUGCAACGCGAAGAACCUUACCUGGGUUUGACAUCCUCGGACCGCUUCAGAGAUGAAGUUUCCUUUUCGGAGGCCGAGUGACAGGUGCUGCAUGGCUGUCGUCAGCUCGUGUCGUGAGAUGUUAGGUUAAGUCCUGCAACGAGCGCAACCCCUGCUCUUAGUUGCCAUCAGGUUAUGCUGGGCACUCUAGGAGGACUGCCGGUAACAAGCCGGAGGAGGGUGUGGAUGACGUCAAGUCCUCAUGGCCUUUAUGACCAGGGCUACACACGUGUUACAAUGGGAGUUACAGAGGGAAGCUAAACCGCGAGGUCAUGCCAAUCCCAGAAAAACUUUCUCAGUUCGGAUCGCAGUCUGCAACUCGACUGCGUGAAGCUGGAAUCGCUAGUAAUCGCGGAUCAGCACGCCGCGGUGAAUACGUUCCCGGGCCUUGUACACACCGCCCGUCACCCCAUGGGAGCCGACAAGGGCAGAAGUCGCCGAGCUAACCCAGC
RNAcentral lists this ribosomal RNA (1389 nucleotides) under uncultured bacterium. RNAcentral's name for it is "bacterial SSU rRNA". It matches the Rfam family "Bacterial small subunit ribosomal RNA". The record is from RNAcentral.